This 445-nucleotide ribosomal RNA is filed under the name uncultured bacterium. Its description in RNAcentral is "partial 16S ribosomal RNA". It matches the Rfam family "Bacterial small subunit ribosomal RNA", at positions 354 to 796 of the family's 1533-position model. The record is from RNAcentral.
GUGAGGAAUAUUGGUCAAUGGGCGCAAGCCUGAACCAGCCAUGCCGCGUGCAGGAAGACGGUCCUAUGGAUUGUAAACUGCUUUUAUUUGGGAAUAAACUCCGGUACGUGUACCGGCCUGAAGGUACCAAAUGAAUAAGCACCGGCUAACUCCGUGCCAGCAGCCGCGGUAAUACGUAGGGUGCAAGCGUUAUCCGGAAUCAUUGGGUUUAAAGGGUCCGCAGGCGGUCUUAUAAGUCAGUGGUGAAAGCCUACAGCUCAACUGUAGAACUGCCAUUGAUACUGUAGGACUUGAAUUCGAUCGAAGUGGGCGGAAUGUGACAUGUAGCGGUGAAAUGCUUAGAUAUGUCACAGAACACCGAUAGCGAAGGCAGCUCACUAGGUCUGGAUUGACGCUCAGGGACGAAAGCGUGGGGAGCAAACAGGAUUAGAAACCCCGGUAGUCC